GUAUUCAAUAACCACAUAAAAACAUUACAAAGGCCAUCCAAAUUAUGUUGGCAAACAAUUCCACUCAAACCCUAAACUUGCAAUGAGGUGGCUCUGUGCUGAAGGUCUCAUUGUGAUUGUGAAAUGAAGAACAGCAAUAAAAGCGCCGUUCCUUUGCUUUAAGUGCUAUUGUGCAUGUAUUGAUGUUCUGUUAUGGAUAGAUUAUUCCAUAUCCUUUGUUUUACGAGUAAUAAACCUUAUUUACAAAAUACAAAAAUACCCAGAUGAAGACAGGAAAUGUAAUUGAUAAAUACAUGCCAGUUAAUUCUGAUAGUUCAAAAAGAAAUUAAGCCCAGUGACAAUUCUGAUAGAAUUAUAAAAAUGGCCUAAAUGACGAUUCUGAUAUGAAUAUAGAAAUUAACCUCUGUGACAAUUCCGAUAGUAUGAUAAAAAUUGGCCCCAGUGACAAUUAGGAUGUCAUGUUGACACUGAUGUUGAAACACCAAUCAUUCCUUGUGUUUUCUUGCCAACAGAUUCAAGCUGAAUAUCUAACCAUGAACACGAAACAGAAAUUACCAGAAUUUUUUAUGUAGGGGAUAAUGUUAAUAUGUUAAUGUUUAUACAAAUUCCUCAGUAUGAUCGUGUCCCAACUGAUCCUCG
This 639-nucleotide long non-coding RNA is filed under the name Mytilus galloprovincialis (Mediterranean mussel). The record is from RNAcentral. Lineage: Eukaryota; Metazoa; Mollusca; Bivalvia; Mytilida; Mytilidae.